UAUAUUUUAGUAUAGGAUGUAUAAAAGUUUUUGAAACUUUAGGUAAUAGUUUAAUUCUAUUAAAUGUAA
RNAcentral lists this transfer RNA (69 nucleotides) under Pristolycus sp. FM14. RNAcentral describes it as "tRNA-Gln". It matches the Rfam family "tRNA". From Rfam's summary of the family: Transfer RNA (tRNA) molecules are approximately 80 nucleotides in length. Their secondary structure includes four short double-helical elements and three loops (D, anti-codon, and T loops). The record is from RNAcentral. Lineage: Eukaryota; Metazoa; Arthropoda; Insecta; Coleoptera; Lampyridae.